AACCCGGAUUAAGAUAAUUUUGGGUUUGAGGCCAAACAAUUUUAUGGGUCCAUAGGCAUAUUUAAAAUAUUGGUACUUAUACGGUACUACCAGCCAACGUCAAGGGCCCGCGAUAUCUAGUGGCCUUAGGCCAUGAUCCCCUCCUUAGUCCGGGCCUGCUCCAAUCAAACUUUAUAUAGCACUUCGGAUCGUAUUGGUAUGAUCUAGUGAAAUUAAUUCUAUAAAAACAAAUUUG
Cinara cedri is the source of this 235-nucleotide non-coding RNA. Lineage: Eukaryota; Metazoa; Arthropoda; Insecta; Hemiptera; Aphididae. The record is from the annotation of a GenBank genome assembly.